AGCAGCCGCGGUAAUUCCAGCUCCAAUAGCGUAUAUUAAAGUUGUUGCAGUUAAAAGGCUCGUAGUUGAAUUUCGGGAUCAAUACGUCGGUCGUGCUUUCGGGUACGUACUGGCGUCAUUGGUUUCUCCUUUCUGACGAACCAUGAUGUCAUUAAUUUGGUGUUAUGGGGAGUUAGGACUGUUACUUUGAAAAAAUUAGAGUGUUUAAAGCAGGCAUUAGCUUGAAUACAUUAGCAUGGAAUAAUGAAAUAGGACGUUCGAUCCUAUUUUGUUGGUUUCUAGGAUCAACGUAAUGAUUAAUAGGGAUAGUUGGGGGGCAUUAGUAUUCGAUUGUCAGAGGUGAAAUUCUUGGAUUUAUUGAAGACUAACUACUGCGAAAGCAUUUGCCAAGGAUGUUUUCAUUAAUCAAGAACGAAAGUUAGGGGAUCGAAGACGAUCAGAUACCGUCGUAGUCUUAACCAUAAACUAUGCCGACUAGGGAUCGGAUGAUGUUAAUUUUUUAAUGACUCAUUCGGCGCCU
RNAcentral lists this unclassified non-coding RNA (520 nucleotides) under uncultured Glomus. Its description in RNAcentral is "SSU rRNA". It matches the Rfam family "Eukaryotic small subunit ribosomal RNA", at positions 569 to 1088 of the family's 1831-position model. Lineage: Eukaryota; Fungi; Glomeromycota; Glomeromycetes; Glomerales; Glomeraceae. The record is from RNAcentral.